UACGUAGGGGGCAAGCGUUGUCCGGAUUUAUUGGGCGUAAAGCGCUCGCAGGUGGUUCGUCGCGUCGUGCGUGAAAGACCCCGGCUCAACUGGGGGAGGUCGUGCGAUACGGGCGGACUGGAGGCCAGUAGGGGGAUGCGGAAUUCCGGGUGUAGCAGUGAAAUGCGUAGAUAUGCGGAGGAACACCGAUGGCGAAGGCAGCUUACUAAGGCGAUACUGACGCUGAGGCACGAAAGCGUGGGGAUCGAACAGG
Molecule: ribosomal RNA, 253 nt
Filed under: uncultured bacterium
Lineage: Bacteria
Description: partial 16S ribosomal RNA
Rfam family: Bacterial small subunit ribosomal RNA
Source: RNAcentral